AUUGAACGCUGGCGGCGUGCCUAAUACAUGCAAGUCGAGCGAACGGACGAGAAGCUUGCUUCUCUGAUGUUAGCGGCGGACGGGUGAGUAACACGUGGAUAACCUACCUAUAAGACUGGGAUCACUUCGGGAAACCGGAGCUAAUACCGGAUAAUAUUUUGAACCGCAUGGUUCAAAAGUGAAAGACGGUCUUGCUGUCACUUAUAGAUGGAUCCGCGCUGCAUUAGCUAGUUGGUAAGGUAACGGCUUACCAAGGCGACGAUGCAUAGCCGACCUGAGAGGAUGAUCGGCCACACUGGAACUGAGACACGGUCCAGACUCCUACGGGAGGCAGCAGUAGGGAAUCUUCCGCAAUGGGCGAAAGCCUGACGGAGCAACGCCGCGUGAGUGAUGAAGGUCUUCGGAUCGUAAAACUCUGUUAUUAGGGAAGAACAUAUGUGUAAGUAACUGUGCACAUCUUGACGGUACCUAAGCAGAAAGCCACGGCUAACUACGUG
RNAcentral lists this ribosomal RNA (497 nucleotides) under uncultured bacterium. Its description in RNAcentral is "partial 16S ribosomal RNA". It matches the Rfam family "Bacterial small subunit ribosomal RNA", at positions 30 to 507 of the family's 1533-position model. The record is from RNAcentral.